Molecule: long non-coding RNA, 421 nt
Organism: Artibeus jamaicensis (Jamaican fruit-eating bat)
Lineage: Eukaryota; Metazoa; Chordata; Mammalia; Chiroptera; Phyllostomidae
Exons: 3
Source: RefSeq, a predicted model, not a curated record
UCGAAAAAGUGCCUCCAAAUUUGACUUGUUUGACCCAGUCUUAGUGUCCUGAGAACAUAGCCGAACCACUGGCUUCUCUAGUGAACUCUGGAUGAUUUGCUUCAAUGGACAGUGGCCUUCAGCAGUGACCGGAUUCCUGCCCAAUCCCCAGACUGGAUUGUACCCAGCGGGGUAAUGAAGCCAGGAGAGGAUGACCCCUGAACUCGCUUGGCUUGUCUCGGAAAUCAGAGAAAUGGAGCCCUUGAUCUCAGUGUGGGUCUGGGGCAUUGGCAUUUUCACGGACGAUACAAAAGCCACGGCGAGGGGACAGCUGGUGACGGAGCAGGCAUGGAGGCUGGGGCACCCAGCGGUGACAGGAGGACUGCGUCCCCCACCGCCACACCCUCGCAGGAACACACAGCCAGUUCCACGUGACAGUAUC